RNAcentral lists this non-coding RNA (48 nucleotides) under Schistosoma haematobium. The record is from RNAcentral. Lineage: Eukaryota; Metazoa; Platyhelminthes; Trematoda; Strigeidida; Schistosomatidae.
GUCCAACUGACGAGUCCCAAAUAGAAAGAAACACACGUCUUACUGGAU